GGUAAACAAACAAAUAAACGACAGUGAUGAUGUCAUCGAUACACACGUUGACCACAUUUUCAAAACACUUGUGUGAAAUAUCUUCGUGUGAACCUUAAAUGACAGAAAGGCAUGAGAGACAAUAGUUUGAUUAAAGAGAAUACAUUUAUAUAUAAAUAUUUAUUCUAUUCUAUCGGCACAAAAUACAUACAAGUUGUUUUCCUUCCGAUAACUAUUGAUAAUUUAGGUGUAUUUUAAAUGUUAUCGCAUUACUUCA
Molecule: long non-coding RNA, 256 nt
Organism: Pseudoliparis swirei
Lineage: Eukaryota; Metazoa; Chordata; Actinopteri; Perciformes; Liparidae
Exons: 2
Source: RefSeq, a predicted model, not a curated record